GGAAUCUUCCACAAUGGACACAAGUCUGAUGGAGCAACGCCGCGUGAGUGAAGAAGGUCUUCGGAUCGUAAAACUCUGUUGUUAGAGAAGAACACGAGUGAGAGUAACUGUUCAUUCGAUGACGGUAUCUAACCAGCAAGUCACGGCUAACUACGUGCCAG
RNAcentral lists this ribosomal RNA (161 nucleotides) under uncultured bacterium. Its description in RNAcentral is "partial 16S rRNA". It matches the Rfam family "Bacterial small subunit ribosomal RNA", at positions 358 to 511 of the family's 1533-position model. The record is from RNAcentral.